AUUGAACGCUGGCGGCAGGCCUAACACAUGCAAGUCGAGCGGAUGAAGGGAGCUUGCUCCUGGAUUCAGCGGCGGACGGGUGAGUAAUUCCUAGGAAUCUGCCUGGUAGUGGGGGAUAACGUCCGUAAACGGGCGCUAAUACCGCAUACGUCCUGAGGGAGAAAGUGGGGGAUCUUCGGACCUCACGCUAUCAGAUGAGCCUAGGUCGGAUUAGCUAGUUGGUUGGGUAAAGGCCUACCAAGGCGACGAUCCGUAACUGGUCUGAGAGGAUGAUCAGUCACACUGGAACUGAGACACGGUCCAGACUCCUACGGGAGGCAGCAGUGGGGAAUAUUGGACAAUGGGCGAAAGCCUGAUCCAACCAUGCCGCGUGUGUGAAGAAGGUCUUCGGAUUGUAAAGCACUUUAAGUUGGGAGGAAGGGCAGUAAGUUAAUACCUUGCUGUUUUGACGGUACCAACAGAAUAAGCACCGGCUAACUUCGCG
This 484-nucleotide ribosomal RNA is filed under the name uncultured bacterium. RNAcentral describes it as "partial 16S ribosomal RNA". It matches the Rfam family "Bacterial small subunit ribosomal RNA", at positions 30 to 507 of the family's 1533-position model. The record is from RNAcentral.